Molecule: ribosomal RNA, 1014 nt
Filed under: Betaproteobacteria bacterium TMED82
Lineage: Bacteria; Pseudomonadati; Pseudomonadota; Betaproteobacteria
Description: bacterial LSU rRNA
Rfam family: Bacterial large subunit ribosomal RNA
Source: RNAcentral
AAACGGCGGCCGUAACUAUAACGGUCCUAAGGUAGCGAAAUUCCUUGUCGGGUAAGUUCCGACCUGCACGAAUGGCGUAACGAUGGCCACACUGUCUCCUCCUGAGACUCAGCGAAGUUGAAAUGGUUGUGAUGAUGCAAUCUCCCCGCGGUUAGACGGAAAGACCCCAUGAACCUUUACUGCAACUUUGCAUUGGAUUUUGAACCGGUUUGUGUAGGAUAGGUGGGAGGCUUUGAAGCCAAAACGCUAGUUUUGGUGGAGCCGUCCUUGAAAUACCACCCUAAUCCGUUUGGAGUUCUAACCUUGGCCCGUUAUCCGGGCUGGGAACAGUGCAUGGUGGGCAGUUUGACUGGGGCGGUCUCCUCCUAAAGAGUAACGGAGGAGCUCGAAGGUACGCUUGGUACGGUCGGAAAUCGUACUUAAAGUGCAAUGGCAUAAGCGUGCUUGACUGCGAGACUUACUAGUCGAGCAGGUGCGAAAGCAGGACAUAGUGAUCCGGUGGUUCUGUAUGGAAGGGCCAUCGCUCAACGGAUAAAAGGUACUCUGGGGAUAACAGGCUGAUACCGCCCAAGAGUUCAUAUCGACGGCGGUGUUUGGCACCUCGAUGUCGGCUCAUCUCAUCCUGGGGCUGUAGCCGGUCCCAAGGGUAUGGCUGUUCGCCAUUUAAAGAGGUACGUGAGCUGGGUUCAGAACGUCGUGAGACAGUUCGGUCCCUAUCUGCCGUGGGCGUUGGAAGUUUGAGGAAGUGCUGCUCCUAGUACGAGAGGACCGGAGUGGACGCACCUCUGGUGUACCUGUUGUCACGCCAGUGGCAUCGCAGGGUAGCUAAGUGCGGAAGAGAUAACCGCUGAAGGCAUCUAAGCGGGAAGCUCAUUCCAAGAUUAGACUUCCCGGGAGCUUGACUCCCCUGAAGGGUCGUUCAAGACUAGGACGUUGAUAGGCUGGGUGUGGAAGUACAGUAAUGUAUGAAGCUAACCAGUACUAAUUGCCCGUGAGGCUUGACUCUAUAACAUU